This 550-nucleotide ribosomal RNA is filed under the name uncultured bacterium. RNAcentral's name for it is "partial 16S ribosomal RNA". It matches the Rfam family "Bacterial small subunit ribosomal RNA", at positions 355 to 893 of the family's 1533-position model. The record is from RNAcentral.
UGGGGAAUAUUGCACAAUGGGCGCAAGCCUGAUGCAGCCAUGCCGCGUGUGUGAAGAAGGCCUUCGGGUUGUAAAGCACUUUCAGCGAGGAGGAAGGUGGUGAGCUUAAUACGCUCAUCAAUUGACGUUACUCGCAGAAGAAGCACCGGCUAACUCCGUGCCAGCAGCCGCGGUAAUACGGAGGGUGCAAGCGUUAAUCGGAAUUACUGGGCGUAAAGCGCACGCAGGCGGUUUGUUAAGUCAGAUGUGAAAUCCCCGGGCUCAACCUGGGAACUGCAUUUGAAACUGGCAAGCUAGAGUCUCGUAGAGGGGGGUAGAAUUCCAGGUGUAGCGGUGAAAUGCGUAGAGAUCUGGAGGAAUACCGGUGGCGAAGGCGGCCCCCUGGACGAAGACUGACGCUCAGGUGCGAAAGCGUGGGGCAGCAAACAGGAUUAGAUACCCUGGUAGUCCACGCUGUAAACGAUGUCGAUUUUGGAGGUUGUGCCCUUGAGGCGUGGCUUCCGGAGCUAACGCGUUAAAGUCGACCGCCUGGGGGAGUACGGCCGCAAGG